AUGAAUGGCUCUGCUCUCCCACCUCCUCCCCUCCCACCUCUCCACCACCACCAAUGGCGACCUCUAGUUCUGCCCCAUGUGGAUGGACUUCUGCAUUGGGAUUUUGCUCUGAGCCUUGCCCUUGCAGAUCAGGUGAGACGCAGGUUUGGAUCGACAGUUCAUUUCUCUCCUUCUCGAGAUUCCAAGGAGUUCUUUCUGGUGGUCACGUUCUCCUCAGCCUCCUUUCCUCUCUCGGUGGAAUCAGUUGGCAUUGCUUUGCAAUGCUGCCUUGGGGGUUUAUGUUCAGGUUUCAAUGUUGCUUAG
This 303-nucleotide ribosomal RNA is filed under the name Triticum aestivum (bread wheat). RNAcentral describes it as "partial small subunit ribosomal RNA". Lineage: Eukaryota; Viridiplantae; Streptophyta; Magnoliopsida; Poales; Poaceae. The record is from RNAcentral.